GACGAACGCUGGCGGCGUGCCUAAUACAUGCAAGUCGAACGAAACUUUCUUACACCGAAUGCUUGCAUUCACCGUAAGAAGUUGAGUGGCGGACGGGUGAGUAACACGUGGGUAACCUGCCUAAAAGAAGGGGAUAACACUUGGAAACAGGUGCUAAUACCGUAUAUCUCUAAGGAUCGCAUGAUCCUUAGAUGAAAGAUGGUUCUGCUAUCGCUUUUAGAUGGACACGCGGCGUAUUAACUUGUUGGUGGGGUAACGGCCCACCAAGGUGAUGAUACGUAGCCGAACUGAGAGGUUGAUCGGCCACAUUGGGACUGAGACACGGCCCAAACUCCUACGGGAGGCAGCAGUAGGGAAUCUUCCACAAUGGACGCAAGUCUGAUGGAGCAACGCCGCGUGAGUGAAGAAGGUCUUCGGAUCGUAAAACUCUGUUGUUAGAGAAGAACACGAGUGAGAGUAACUGUUCAUUCGAUGACGGUAUCUAACCAGCAAGUCACGGCUAACUACGUGCCAGCCGCCGCCGUAA
This 526-nucleotide ribosomal RNA is filed under the name uncultured bacterium. Its description in RNAcentral is "partial 16S ribosomal RNA". It matches the Rfam family "Bacterial small subunit ribosomal RNA", at positions 28 to 523 of the family's 1533-position model. The record is from RNAcentral.